RNAcentral lists this ribosomal RNA (357 nucleotides) under Triticum aestivum (bread wheat). RNAcentral describes it as "partial small subunit ribosomal RNA". The record is from RNAcentral. Lineage: Eukaryota; Viridiplantae; Streptophyta; Magnoliopsida; Poales; Poaceae.
GAGACGAUUGACCACUUACUCCUUGGAUGCGUGUUUGUGAGACAGGUCUGGUCGGUCAUUACAGACAAUUGGGGCAAACCCCAAUGGACUCCAACUCACGGAGUGAAGCUAGUUCAAUGGUGGACAUCUUUGGGCAUAGAGAUGAGGAUGAUGAAGGAAGCUUGGGCGGUGAUCACUUUGGUGGCAUGGACUAUUUGGAAGCACAGAAAUGACGUCGUCUUCAAUGGCACAUUGCCUUCCGUUGACGUGGUGGUCAAGCAGAUCAACGCGGAAGGAGAGAACUGGAGGCCUGCGUCGCUAUUACGGCAGCCAGGAUCGCUCCCAGUCAGAGUAGAUAGGUUGGAUAGUAGCGAGUAA